Molecule: ribosomal RNA, 535 nt
Filed under: Fusarium sp. OUCMBI101153
Lineage: Eukaryota; Fungi; Ascomycota; Sordariomycetes; Hypocreales; Nectriaceae
Description: eukaryotic LSU rRNA
Rfam family: 5.8S ribosomal RNA (bases 166-319)
Source: RNAcentral
CCCCGCAAUAAGACAGAUCCUAAGUUUCACUCCCAAACCCCUGUGAACAUACCAAUUGUUGCCUCGGCGGAUCAGCCCGCUCCCGGUAAAACGGGACGGCCCGCCAGAGGACCCCUAAACUCUGUUUCUAUAUGUAACUUCUGAGUAAAACCAUAAAUAAAUCAAAACUUUCAACAACGGAUCUCUUGGUUCUGGCAUCGAUGAAGAACGCAGCAAAAUGCGAUAAGUAAUGUGAAUUGCAGAAUUCAGUGAAUCAUCGAAUCUUUGAACGCACAUUGCGCCCGCCAGUAUUCUGGCGGGCAUGCCUGUUCGAGCGUCAUUUCAACCCUCAAGCCCCCGGGUUUGGUGUUGGGGAUCGGCGAGCCCUUGCGGCAAGCCGGCCCCGAAAUCUAGUGGCGGUCUCGCUGCAGCUUCCAUUGCGUAGUAGUAAAACCCUCGCAACUGGUACGCGGCGCGGCCAAGCCGUUAAACCCCCAACUUCUGAAUGUUGACCUCGGAUCAGGUAGGAAUACCCGCUGAACUUAAGCAUAUCAAA